Coregonus clupeaformis (lake whitefish) is the source of this 343-nucleotide long non-coding RNA. RefSeq lists it as uncharacterized. Lineage: Eukaryota; Metazoa; Chordata; Actinopteri; Salmoniformes; Salmonidae. The transcript has 4 exons. The record is from RefSeq and is a predicted model, not a curated record.
AGGGGUUAAGGUUCCACAAACGGCCAACCCCAAAACAGGGGAAGACGACGCAGACAAAGCUGGAAAGGGGCAGGGGAAUGGAGCAGAUGAACCCAGCGGAUCCAACAGUCCUAAAGAUGAGUCAAAGUGUGAGGAAACCACACCAUUGAUGGAGUAGAAAGACAGACUGUAAAGAAUCCAGUGUUUUAGGAUGGUGUGGAAGUGAGGACCACAAAAAUGGGGUUUGAAGGCUCUCAGUACAUGCCUCCAAAUCUGUUACAUUGAGACAAACGACCAAGAAGAGAGAAACAUGUUUGAACGGUUGGAGAUGUUUUUAAUGAAAUAUAUAAUGAAGGAAACAACA